UAGGGAAUCUUCGGCAAUGGACGAAAGUCUGACCGAGCAACGCCGCGUGAGUGAAGAAGGUUUUCGGAUCGUAAAACUCUGUUGUUAGAGAAGAACAAGGACGUUAGUAACUGAACGUCCCCUGACGGUAUCUAACCAGAAAGCCACGGCUAACUACGUGCCAGCAGCCGCGGUAAUACGUAGGUGGCAAGCGUUGUCCGGUAUAAUUGGGCGUAAAGCGAGCGCAGGCGGUUUCUUAAGUCUGAUGUGAAAGCCCCCGGCUCAACCGGGGAGGGUCAUUGGAAACUGGGAGACUUGACUGCAGAAAAGGAGAGUGGAAUUCCAUGUGUAGCGGUGAAAUGCGUAGAUAUAUGGUGGAACACCAGUGGCGAAGGCGGCUCUCUGGUCUGUAACUGACGCUGAGGCUCGAAAGCGUGGGGAGCAAACAGG
RNAcentral lists this ribosomal RNA (429 nucleotides) under Gemmatimonadota bacterium. Its description in RNAcentral is "Gemmatimonadetes bacterium partial 16S ribosomal RNA". It matches the Rfam family "Bacterial small subunit ribosomal RNA", at positions 355 to 776 of the family's 1533-position model. Lineage: Bacteria; Pseudomonadati; Gemmatimonadota. The record is from RNAcentral.